AUAUAUAUAUAUAUAUAUAUAUAUAUAUAACUGCUGUGUCAAAUGCAAAAAUCUGAAAGAGGGAAAAUGUAGCUGAGUGUCUGAGUAUCCAUUUGUUUCCCUUUGGGGUGAGCACUAGUGUUGGAAUAACUGUCAGAAUGCGUGUUUAUUUUGUUUUUAAAUCGGUCUCCACCUGAACAUUCAAAUAUCACAGAGGUCUAAAAAAUGAGCUCACUUCGGAGGUUAUAUUUCUUAAUAGCGUUGCCAUUUGUCUGAUUAAUAACAAGCAAAAGAAUAAAUAACAAGAAUAAUCACAAAUAACCUGUAUUACAACAGUGCCCCUUCUAAUGUUUUCAAGUGGCAUAAGAUUGUGCGUGACUCAACAACGCUGAGUCACACACAUUCAGGAUGAAGCUCACAAACAAUCCAAUUCCCCCAAUCCGAUGGCUGGUCUCCCUGCUGGCUGAAUGCACCGUAUCAGAGACGCUCUCUGAAUACUGAGCAGCGGGAAUCACGAGGGAACUUAACUGAACACGAGCCAACACAUAAACGGCGAGGCCCGCUAAAAGGAUUUUUAGAUUUAAGACCCUGCGAUGCAUCGCGUCCGCUGGCACGCUUCAGACGUGUCUCUGAGCUGAUGAAAAACUUUCAUUUCACUACAUCGAAGCUAAACUAAAUAUGUCCACAGUGUGUCAUUAACAGGCUCAACCUGCACUCCCGACAACGUGGUGCAGACGUGCAAAACAUCGGCACACAACAGGUGAUUCGUAACAUAUCCAGCAAUAACAAACCCAAAUAAUCGAUAGGUUUCCCGCCAUUGACACAACAAGUUCUAAUCAAAUUGGAUAUACUGAUGAAGAUACAGCACAAAGGUUAAACCCUUUUUAUAAUUCAUCAGUUAUAUUUUGAUGAUAUGAAGCCACAUGUUCAUUUCUCAGCUUUUUGAAAAGGUCAAUCAAUAUUCCUUCAGUAGAAGUGCAAACAGCUCAUCUACGACAGAUGAAGCUGCUGAAGUGAGAAAAUACAAACAAGCUUAUUAGUGAGACUCAAAGUGGCUGAUUAAAACAAUUGUUGUUCCUUUCAUUUUUAGAAAAUUUUCAUUAAUAUUAAUAUAUUAUUACAUUAUUCCACAAAAUAUAAAGCAAAACAAACGGUCCGCUGCCUCUGUAUCCUGAAGCUGAUGUCCAGGGGGCUUUCUCUCCCACCUUUUUAAUUACAACAUAUACACAACCAAGCACAGCACCCCCCGUUUGGUGUAUUAAUAGGUCUCUCUUUUAUUAUUUAAGGGUAAAUUUGCAGCCGGGCGCUUGACAUUGUGACGGGUUAUUUUUCUUCUUCUCCUUUCGACUCGAACAUCGGUUCGCUCUCCCCCAAAUCACAUCGCUGACCUUUUCUCACAGUGGCAUCCAAAGACCAGUCAGCCAAACAUGCCUCCGGCCAAAUCAAUAACUCCUCCCAGCCAUCAGCAGCUUGGAAGACCUCUCGCCUCCUUCACUCCAGCUGUUUAAUCCCAGUUGGGGGGAAACAGUUCUCUCAUUACAAUUUAAUCCUCAGACUGUCCCUUGUUCCGGUGGAGUUCAAAUAAAUGAAUGCAGUCUUACAGCUCUGAUUCACGAGUACAGCGUCCCGCUGCUUCCAUGGGACGCCGUAAUUAUUCACUCUGAUUCUCCCCGAUAGAUUCCCCCCACUCCCGGGGUCUCAUAAGCAGUGCUCCCUCAUGCGGAAUCACCAAGAAGUAAAAGGCUCAGACUGCCCCCCCCCCGAGCUAAUGGGAUUGAUCCCUAAACAUCCUUCGAUUUAAUAAUGGCGGUAUUGCGCUGUGAAAACGGAAAUGUGAGACUUCGUAAAGGAUGUAGCUAGCAGACCAAUCGCAGCACGGCUUGCGUAGCUUUUUGCCGCUAGUCUAGAAAAUGGUUCGACGCACGCAAGGAGGUGUGAAAAGGCACGCAAGGGACACGCAAGGGACGCGCAAGGGACACGCAAGGGACACGCAAGGGACACGCAAGGGACACGCAAGGGACGCGCAAGGGACACGCAAGGGACGCGCAAGGGGCUCUUGCGUCUGCGUGUCCUUGUGUCUCUGUCUGUCUGAAAACGCAGAAGCAUCAACUAGGCUUAUGAAUUAUUUUAACCAAUUGCUUUGUUGCAAAGUGUGAUUAGUCUCGAGUUGUACGUAGCCGGGUGAAGUUGGGGCGGGGGGGGUUUUCGUGCUGCUAGAUGGUCCGCACACAGGGUGAGCGCGUACUGUCACUUUACGUACAUUUGGCACGAGUUCACGUGGGAUUUGGAGCUGCAGAGCGGGACCUGGCGGCUACCGGCGACAACACAGUGUUAGCGGUUAGCAUCGGAACAGCGCUAGGGAAACGCCUGUUCAGCGGGUCAGCGUAGGUGUUAGUAAACCUGACUCACCAUGUCUAUUUCGUUUAGAGGGGAGUAACAAGCUGCCGGGGGGUUGAGGUUGCACGGAGCCGUCAACUGACCACAACUGGUUGUAUUUUCCAUUCCGAUGUCUCGGAGACCACUCGACUCUGGAAUGGAAUGGAAUCUUCAAGGCCAAGUUCCAUACAAAUUAGAUUAAUCUGUUCAUUGUGAUUCUGACCACAGAACUGAGCACUGCGGAUUUUUUUUGUGAGAGAAUUCAUCAGCGACGUUUGUCCUCAACAAGACUUAAGUAGCCUUUUGAAAGAUAUAUCACCAUUCUUCAAAGACCACAUCGAGUCGUUAACCGGCAAACAAACAAACAGCCUUUUUCAAGGCUUCCAGCCUAUUUACAGGGAUCCCACCAGCCUUUUUAAAGAUACCAUCAUUCUUUUUAAAGACUACACAAGUGUUAUUUAACAUGUACCGUGGAAACAACCAGAGAAUUGGAGCUGGCGCUUCACUUCUCGGGACUCCCACCGGAUACAAGGUGAACACUUUCUCGUGCCAAGAAUGAAGUGCACUAUAAAGGAAAGUGAGCGAACUCACCGCUCACACUGAAACUGUGAAGUACAGUUUGACCAACCUGUUAAAAGGCAAAGAUCUUUCCUAUGAGCAGAAGGUUGACAAGAACAGAAAGAAGUUUUCAGACCUCAUCAGGGAGAACAAGGGUUUGUCUCUGAAGCUCACAGAGACCACCGAAAAAUGCUGAGAGCUGAUUCUCUGGCUGCUUUAAAAAAGAGCCAAGAGGAUACCCACCACGAGAUGGUCACGAGCAGUGGUUUCACUGAGUUGUGCCUGAUCCAACAAACGGAGGAUACCGGCGCCAAAGAACAUCAGAUCCUUAUCACCAGGAUCCAAGAAUUAAAGGACGACAAAGAGUCCUUGAAAACAUCUGCCUCGACUUUAAAAAAAAAGAAGAAAAAGAGGCAUUUUUGGGAGACGGAUGCAAGAACCGGCAGACGGAGAUGGACAAAAUGAGGCGCAAGAUGCAGGACAAGGAGGCAAAGAAAUAGGAGAGAGAAGAGAAGAAAAAGGAGAUAAUCCAGGACGUCAACAUCAACGUGCCUGAGACUGGACACCUGUAAGAACACCUUCCUUCACCUCCCACUCCAUCGUACCUCAUCCUUCUACCCUAAAAAAAAGAAUAAAAAAAACGCUAAAAAAAAAAGAUCCCUGCUUUAAAACCUAACUCACAACUGGUCUGGUAUAUAUGUGGCACGACUGGACAAUGGACCUGAACCCAAUUCC
Gasterosteus aculeatus aculeatus (three-spined stickleback) is the source of this 3648-nucleotide long non-coding RNA. NCBI's taxonomy places the organism in Eukaryota, Metazoa, Chordata, Actinopteri, Perciformes, Gasterosteidae. The record is from Ensembl.